AUGAAAGAACACUUUGAUGCUCACAACGUGAGUGGAAUUGACCGCUCCGAGAGAUUACUUCGGUCCCGAUGGUCGACAAUCAACUCGGAUUGUCAAAAGUGGGCGGCCGCACAAAAGACGGUUGACAAGUUGAACCCAAGUGGCACAAAUGAGGACGAUAGAGUAAGUGAAGAGGAUAGGAAAACCAAGAAGGGGAAGAUCAAGAAAGGAAGGGUCUUUACCUUGCCUCAUUGCUACAAAGUGUUGAAGGAUGAUGAGAAAUGGAAGAAGCGUGAAGAUUUGGAUGAUUUGCAUUUGAGCAACAAACGCAAGCGAACAAUUGAGUUGAAUGAUGAGGAGGAGGAAGAGGAGGAGGAUGCAUCAAGUGAUGACGACAAGAGAAGCCCCACACCCAACUCGGUUUCAUACUCGAAGCCAAAACGACCGGAUGGGUGCAAGAAAGACAAAACCGAAAAGAAGAAGAGGAAAGGAGAUGAUGAGCUCAAAAAUGCUAUGGAAGCUAUUGUGAAGGCAAGAAAAGAAGCCGACGAGGUGAGGAAAAUGGCAAGGAACCAAGAUGCCGCGGCCGAGGAGAGGAGGUUGGCGGCCGAGGAGAGGAAGGUGGCUUUGGAGGAGAGGAAGGUGAGCAAUGAGGAGCGAACUAGAUUGUUGGAAUGGGAGAAGCACUUGUUCUUCUUGGACACAUCUAACCUCAAUGAGGCGCAAAAAGAGUAUGUCAAUCUUGCCCGUGAAGAAGUGUUG
This 741-nucleotide ribosomal RNA is filed under the name Triticum aestivum (bread wheat). RNAcentral's name for it is "partial small subunit ribosomal RNA". The record is from RNAcentral. Lineage: Eukaryota; Viridiplantae; Streptophyta; Magnoliopsida; Poales; Poaceae.